RNAcentral lists this ribosomal RNA (470 nucleotides) under uncultured eubacterium WR185. RNAcentral's name for it is "bacterial SSU rRNA". It matches the Rfam family "Bacterial small subunit ribosomal RNA", at positions 9 to 527 of the family's 1533-position model. The record is from RNAcentral. RNAcentral also lists the same sequence under 1 other name.
GAGUUUGAUCAUGGCUCAGAACGAACGCUGGCGGCAGGCUUAACACAUGCAAGUCGAACGCACCGCAAGGUGAGUGGCAGACGGGUGAGUAACACGUGAGAACGUACCCCUUUGUUCGGAAUAACCCUGGGAAACUAGGGCUAAUACCGGAUACGGCCGAGAGGCGAAAGGUUUACCGCAGAGGGAUCGGCCCGCGUCCGAUUAGCUAGUUGGUGAGGUAACGGCUCACCAAGGCAUCGAUCGGUAGCUGGUCUGAGAGGAUGACCAGCCACAUUGGGACUGAGACACGGCCCAAACUCCUACGGGAGGCAGCAGUGGGGAAUAUUGGACAAUGGGCGCAAGCCUGAUCCAGCCAUGCCGCGUGAGUGAUGAAAGCCUUAGGGUUGUAAAGCUCUUUUACCUGGGAAGAUCAUGACGGUACCAGGAGAAUAAGCCCCGGCUAACUUCGUGCCAGCAGCCGCGGUAAUACG